CACUCUGUUAGACAAGUACUUGCACAUACCUCAUCUGUAUGAUUGUAGCUCAUCAGUGAAUCUGUCAUUCUGUCUGUGCCUGCUGCAGCCUCCAAACACUACAGCGAGGAUGAGCACUUUGAAGAUGAGGUCAUUGAGGAGCUGAGAAAUUGGAAGCCUAAAAGGCCUGCCAUGCUCACCAAAGUGUCCCUCCAUGAUUCUCUGGACUCAACCGUUGAGCUCCUGCCCCCUGGAGCGGACAGUGACACCAGGGAGGAACUAGGGAGCGGAGAAGUCCAUAGACGGCACUAGCAGGUGAGACCAGACUGGACAGUCAGGUCCUACUGGAUGUAGCUAUCUAAACAUGGUGAAAACAGAAAUGACUUUGGACCAUCUGUAUCAGUUUGGUGGUGGCGGAUGAUGGUGAACCUGGUGGUGUUCCUGUGU
RNAcentral lists this long non-coding RNA (426 nucleotides) under Oncorhynchus kisutch (coho salmon). RNAcentral's name for it is "lncRNA (ENSOKIG00005014655.1)". Lineage: Eukaryota; Metazoa; Chordata; Actinopteri; Salmoniformes; Salmonidae. The record is from RNAcentral.